UAGGGAAUCUUCCGCAAUGGACGCAAGUCUGACGGAGCAACGCCGCGUGAGUGAAGAAGGAUUUCGGUUCGUAAAACUCUGUUGUUAGAGAAGAACAGCGCAUAGAGUAACUGUUAUGCGUGUGACGGUAUCUAACCAGAAAGCCACGGCUAACUACGUGCCAGCAGCCGCGGUAAUACGUAGGUGGCAAGCGUUGUCCGGAUUUAUUGGGCGUAAAGCGAGCGCAGGCGGUCAAUUAAGUCUGAUGUGAAAGCCCCCGGCUCAACCGGGGAGGGUCAUUGGAAACUGGUUGACUUGAGUGCAGAAGAGGAGAGUGGAAUUCCAUGUGUAGCGGUGAAAUGCGUAGAUAUAUAGAGGAACACCAGUGGCGAAGGCGACUCUCUGGUCUGUAACGGACGCUGAGGCUCGAAAGCGUGGGUAGCAAACAGG
Molecule: ribosomal RNA, 429 nt
Filed under: Bacteroidota bacterium
Lineage: Bacteria; Pseudomonadati; Bacteroidota
Description: Bacteroidetes bacterium partial 16S ribosomal RNA
Rfam family: Bacterial small subunit ribosomal RNA
Source: RNAcentral